AGUGAACGCUGGCGGUAGGCCUAACACAUGCAAGUCGAACGGCAGCACAGUAAGAGCUUGCUCUUACGGGUGGCGAGUGGCGGACGGGUGAGGAAUACAUCGGAAUCUACUUUUUCGUGGGGGAUAACGUAGGGAAACUUACGCUAAUACCGCAUACGACCUACGGGUGAAAGCAGGGGAUCUUCGGACCUUGCGCGAUUGAAUGAGCCGAUGUCGGAUUAGCUAGUUGGCGGGGUAAAGGCCCACCAAGGCGACGAUCCGUAGCUGGUCUGAGAGGAUGAUCAGCCAAACUGGAACUGAGAAACGGUCCAGACUCCUACGGGAGGCAGCAGUGGGGAAUAUUGGACAAUGGGCGCAAGCCUGAUCCAGCCAUACCGCGUGGGUGAAGAAGGCCUUCGGGUUGUAAAGCCCUUUUGUUGGGAAAGAAAAGCAGCAGGUUAAUACCCCGCUGUUCUGACGGUACCCAAAGAAUAAGCACCGGCUAACUUCGUG
RNAcentral lists this ribosomal RNA (492 nucleotides) under uncultured bacterium. RNAcentral's name for it is "partial 16S ribosomal RNA". It matches the Rfam family "Bacterial small subunit ribosomal RNA", at positions 29 to 507 of the family's 1533-position model. The record is from RNAcentral.